ACCGCCAUGGACGGCAGUGGUUCCAAACUUCCAGGAGUUUUAGACGCAAGUCUAAAACUCUAAGAUGAAAAAUGUACAGGACGUACAUUCUUCAACCGGC
Molecule: non-coding RNA, 100 nt
Organism: Treponema denticola ATCC 35405
Lineage: Bacteria; Pseudomonadati; Spirochaetota; Spirochaetia; Treponematales; Treponemataceae
Source: Rfam